UGGUCUGAGUGGGAAAAUUUGGGGCUGA
RNAcentral lists this non-coding RNA (28 nucleotides) under Homo sapiens (human). The record is from RNAcentral. Lineage: Eukaryota; Metazoa; Chordata; Mammalia; Primates; Hominidae.